Molecule: long non-coding RNA, 432 nt
Organism: Poecilia latipinna (sailfin molly)
Lineage: Eukaryota; Metazoa; Chordata; Actinopteri; Cyprinodontiformes; Poeciliidae
Exons: 3
Source: RefSeq, a predicted model, not a curated record
CUUGUGCCACGCAGUCUUUAGACAGCUGCUCAUACACUCCUUUCUGAGGCUGGAAAAGGGUCUAUUGUACAAACAAGGCCAUCAGUGUUGGUUUCCCUGGAGCCUCAGCGGUGGGCAUGGACGAGUGGAAGAUGAAGAGCUUCCCGCUGCACUCUGCUGCCUGGAAGGACGACAACAGAUCACACGCAAAUCUGACUGGUGAAAUGAAUGUUACAACACCACUGAGAGGGGAACCCUCUGGCCCAAAACCUUCAUACUCGACUGAGCUCCGGAAGAACCAGCUCAACGCCAUCUUGAAAAAAGCUCAGCGGUGAAAGGAGACAAACAAUUAGUUGCUUGGCAACACUGAAGGCAAGUUCCAACUAUUGCUUCUUGAUUUUCUUUUUUUUUUUUUCAGAACUUCCUUUAAUAAUUUUAUUUGUGCACAUUUCU